UUUCUAAUGUUUUUCAUGUUUAAUUGAAGCAGUAGAUUGUUAUUCAAGAUUCUUCUUGGCUUUGAUUCUGAGAUUUUUGCAAUUUGAAAGUUUAAUCAAAGGUUACUGUGAUUUUUUUUGGAUAUUUUUCUAUGAUUUGUGAUUUUGAGUUGUGGUGUUUUCUCUUUUUCCCGUUGUUGAGAUGUUGAUAAAAUUUCUGUCCAGAAUUGUUGCUUUACACUAUUUGCUGAUUCGGUUUGGUUUGCAUUGGUUUUGAAAUUAAAACUGAUUUCGGUUCGGUUUCAUUUAGUUUUGUGGAAAAAAACUAAAAGAGUCACGCGAUGGAGAAUUUGGAGAGAUGUGCGUCGAUAAAAAAAGUCAUGAAUUGGAAAGGGGUUUACCCACAGAAUCGCUCUCACUCGCUCAACGCGCUCUUUCUGCGAGUGGGUACGAAAUAGAGCCUUCUGAUUGGCUUAGAAACUCUAAAAAAACUCAAAUAGUAUACAUGUUGCUAGCUAUGUUAUUAUUUGAUAAAGUUUUGUACUUGCAUCUUUUUUUCAGUCACCGGAAGUUGGAAGUUCGUUUGUGAUAGGAUCUAAACAAGUAUCAAAGUCUACAAAUUCUGGAUUAAGCAAGUUAAAGACUUGUGAUUCCCCUGUAUCUUCAACAACCUCGUCUUCCAAAACUUUAUCCAAAGACAUCUGUGGAUAACCAUAGCAAGCCGCAGUUACAUUAUACAGGAAAGGUACCACUUAAGGCUUUGCAUUCCAAAGAAAAUGUCACAGUCACUUUGUUUGAUAUGUUUGUUCUGUGGAUUGUUAACAUUCCAUAAAGUCGAUAUGGAUCUUGCAUAGGCUUGCUUACUCUUUUGAUCCAGU
RNAcentral lists this small RNA (857 nucleotides) under Arabidopsis thaliana (thale cress). RNAcentral's name for it is "ATSL127390". The record is from RNAcentral. Lineage: Eukaryota; Viridiplantae; Streptophyta; Magnoliopsida; Brassicales; Brassicaceae.